GCGGGAGUAGUUCAGUGGUAGAACGUCUCGUUGCCAACGAGAAGGUCGCCGGUUCAAAUCCGGUCUCCCGCUCCA
Molecule: transfer RNA, 75 nt
Filed under: Candidatus Microgenomates bacterium
Lineage: Bacteria; Candidatus Microgenomatota
Description: tRNA-Gly
Rfam family: tRNA
About the family: Transfer RNA (tRNA) molecules are approximately 80 nucleotides in length. Their secondary structure includes four short double-helical elements and three loops (D, anti-codon, and T loops).
Source: RNAcentral